This 212-nucleotide unclassified non-coding RNA is filed under the name Ascomycota sp. RNAcentral's name for it is "partial contains small subunit ribosomal RNA, internal transcribed spacer 1, and 5.8S ribosomal RNA". The stretch from base 1 to 47 matches the Rfam family "Eukaryotic small subunit ribosomal RNA", at positions 1785 to 1831 of the family's 1831-position model. The record is from RNAcentral. Lineage: Eukaryota; Fungi; Ascomycota.
AAAGUCGUAACAAGGUCUCCGUUGGUGAACCAGCGGAGGGAUCAUUACUGAGCUUACGCACUCUCAACCCUUUCGUGGACCACAGAACGUUGCCUCGGUGGGCUCGCCCGCCGGAGGCCAAACAACCCUAUUUUUUGCAGGUUAUCUGAGUGGCGCAGAAAAAAAAAAAAAAAAUUAAGUCAAAACUUUCAGCAACGGAUCUCUUGGUUCUG